CAUGAACUGCACUGCUGGAAAAGAUAUGUUUAAUUAUUAAUGGGAGCUAACUCCCUCCUCAGCCAGCCCCAGCAGGAGCAGCUGGCCUUCAGCAUGCCCUGAAAACCAUGAUCAAAAUGAGAUGUUUUCCAGGAGUCAGGCAGAGCAUUUAGAGCAGCAUUUGGCCAAAAGAGGUCGCUUCAGGGCUCCCUCCCGAGUACACAUUUGGUGAAGGGUUCUGGUUUCUUUAUGGUUUGUAGCUUUAGUCAGAUCAAAUGAGAUAAAAAGCCCAUUUUAAGCACCAUAUAUGAGUUGGUGGCCCUGCUGGAUCCAAUAAAGUAGAUUCUCUGUAAGAGUCAGAAAGUAAUCUUGUUCAAACAUAUUCUUCAAUGACUGAAAACUAAUAAUAUACAAAAAAUGCACAAAUGUUAACCUCAUAAUUUCCUCAUAUGCCGGUAUUUUUCCUUCCAGGAAACUUGUUCCCCUUCUUUAUGUGAAGAUGGAGUCCCUAGGGCUGUUUCGCCUUUUCCUGCUGUGAUGAAAACAGGGAGAGAUCUGCCAAAUCAGUACUGUAAAUCUCCAAGAGACCCUUCUCAAGAACAUUGCCAGCUGGGAUUGGAUAGGUGGGAUUAUGACAAUUUUGCAACAGCUCUGUUUCUGAUGAAGAAAAGUUCUCCCCUUUUGGUGGCCUGUAAGCACUACCUGAUCCUCUCACCUGAUGUUCAGCUUGUGCAUUUGUAACUGCUUUUCAGUGGUCAUAAAUCCUUUAUUAGAUAGUCAUUUAUAUACAGCUUAUAAAAAUAAGUAACAAAUGAAAUCAAAUAAAUGAAAAAAAGACACA
Molecule: long non-coding RNA, 820 nt
Filed under: Parus major (Great Tit)
Lineage: Eukaryota; Metazoa; Chordata; Aves; Passeriformes; Paridae
Description: lncRNA (ENSPMJG00000002639.1)
Source: RNAcentral